Molecule: long non-coding RNA, 1466 nt
Filed under: Homo sapiens (human)
Lineage: Eukaryota; Metazoa; Chordata; Mammalia; Primates; Hominidae
Description: HSALNT0370518
Source: RNAcentral
GCCUGUAAUCCCAGCACUUUGGGAGGCCGAGGUGGGUGGAUCACUUGAGGUUAGGAGCUUGAGACUAGCCUGGUAAACAUGGCAAAACGCUGUUUCUACUAAAAAUACAAAAAUUAGCCAGGCAUGAUGGCGCAUGCCUGUAAUCCCAGCUACUCGGGAGGCUGAGGCAGGAGAAUCGCUUGAAACUGGGAGGCAGAGGCAGUAGUAAGCUGAGAUCCAACCAGUGCACUGCAGCCUGAGCAACAGAGCAAGACUCUGUCUAAAAAAAAAAAAAACAAACCUCUUUCCUCCUCCCAACUACAGUAAAAUCUGGCAGUAGCCCAAGGUGACACUAAAGGGCAACGGACACCAGGCUGUGGUGUAUGUAAGGCAGUUGGGGGUGGUGAGGAUGGGGGCGACUUACUUUACCAUCUAAUGGGGGCUGCUGCUGCUGAGCCCUAGGAGAUAUGCAGACCUGGGAUAUCUGGAUGAUUAGAUUUUUUUCCAGAAAAGGGAGAGUGUUGGAUUUCUACAUGGUAGCCCUCAGUUUUUUAAAUGCUGACAAAUAAUUUAAAGAUAAUUGUUCAGGCCGGGGGUGAUGGCUCAUGCCCGUAAUCCCAGCACUUUGGGGGGCCCAGGCAGGAGGAUCGCUUGAGGCCAGGAGUUCAAGACCAGCCUGGGCAACAUAGUGAGACCCUGUCUCUACCUACCCUUUUUUUUUUUUUUUUUUUUUUUUGAGACAGGGUCUUCCUGUGUCACUCAGGCUGGAGUGCAGUGGCACAAUCUCAGCUCGCUGCAAUCUCGACCCUCCCAGACUCCAGUGAUCCUCCUACCUCAGCCUCCCAAGUAGCUGGGACUACUGCCGUGUGCCACCAUGCCUGGCUAAUUUUUUAAUUUUUUGUAGAGACAAAAAAUAAAACAUGGGGUUUUGCCAUGUUUCCCAAGCUGGUCUCAAACUCCUGAGCUCAAGUGAUCUGCCUGCCUCAGCCUCCCAAAGUGCUGCGAUUAGAGGUGUGAGUAACCACUCCUGGCCUAAAAAUUUUUUACUUUAAAAAAAAAAAGUUGUUUUAAAUAAUUGUUCAGCUCCCUGGAAUGUGAGGCUGAGGGCUGCUGUGACCUCAGGACUCCCUCUGAGCUUUCACAGUGCUAGAGCAGGGGAAGUUGCAAGCAAAUUAAUCCCAGAACAGGGUUAGGGGCAGCCUGAAACCUGAGGCCCCGCUCCUCCUGGAGUUCCCUGCCUGCUUCUUUGCCCCCUAUGGGCAGCUGUGACCCACACCCCGCUGCCCUGGUGAGUGAUGUGUCCAUCAUGGCCAUGGCAGCUUCCGGGCUGCAGCUGGGGUCUGGUUUCCCACUAAGGCUGAAGUAAGGAACCAUAAUCUCUGGGCUGACACCCCAGGCUGCACGCUCCUCAUGGAAACACCAUCUGUGAGCUGGACACACACAGCCCACAGCCCUGGGUAAAGAGAUUUAUUCGUAGAGCGUUCCCU